GGGUGACGUGAUGGCAUACCAUCUUUCGGGACUGACUCUUCGUGUUGAGAGCUCUUGACACACUGAUCACUC
This is a small nucleolar RNA of Hippocampus comes (tiger tail seahorse), 72 nucleotides long. The record is from Ensembl. NCBI's taxonomy places the organism in Eukaryota, Metazoa, Chordata, Actinopteri, Syngnathiformes, Syngnathidae.